GCUUUGAAUGUGGAGCUCAGUAGAUGCCCUUGAAUGACUGUUUUUCCACCGUGUUCUUCAAUGAUAGUUAAUGAGGGCACAGACCACUAAUAAGCAGUGGAGGCAGCUUCUAGGCUAAGCUGAAAUUGGGCCUUCAAAUCUAAUCAAAAUUAGUCACUGCUGAGAAGAAACCAAAUGCGGUGUGUCCAUUUGGAUCUGGGGUUUGGAGAGGCCCUCCUUGUUUUCCGGGGCCAUGAGCCGUAGGAAGCAUGUCAACCAUGGCAAACCGGAGGAUCAGGAAAUCAAAGAUUCCAUUCACUUGCCCUGGAGUUUGAGAUCUGUGAUGCUAUGGCACUCCACACCUUCCCAGUGGCUGCAAUUACACACAUCAAGUUUCAGAAUGAACGACAAGUCUACAGACCAGUGCCAAGGAUCCAAAGAGAAGAAAUGAGAACAACCAAGGUAUGCUGUGUCCACUUAAUUAACUAUUUGCGAACAAAGGUGCAAACAAUGUGACCGUAGCUUCAUGAGAACAGGGAGUUUGUAUCUUUUCGCCUGUGUAUCGGCAGUACCUAGCAACACACCUGGCCCAUAAGAAACAAUGCAUAUUUGUGGAACAGAUGGAUGAAUGAACAAUUAAAAAAUACAUCUGACUAUAUUCUAGUUUGCAUUUUCUUGAGUGGCAGAGAGGGUAAUAGACUUUUAGUGCCCGGGAAUGCCCACAGGGACGUAUCUCCAGAAGAAACUCGUUCUCUUUCAUGUUGCAUUGGAAGUAACACACAUGAGCAGAGACAUGGUUUCAUAUUUCCAGCCAGAAUUCUUAAAAACCCUGUGGUCUGUCUUCUGCUCCUGUGUGUCUAGUCCUGCCUGCUCCUCUCUUUAGUCAAAAUAAUUUGGUCAAAA
Long non-coding RNA from Sapajus apella (tufted capuchin), 882 nucleotides. RefSeq lists it as uncharacterized. The transcript is spliced from 4 exons. NCBI's taxonomy places the organism in Eukaryota, Metazoa, Chordata, Mammalia, Primates, Cebidae. The record is from RefSeq and is a predicted model, not a curated record.